Molecule: transfer RNA, 65 nt
Filed under: Pinctada margaritifera
Lineage: Eukaryota; Metazoa; Mollusca; Bivalvia; Pterioida; Pteriidae
Description: tRNA-Arg
Source: RNAcentral
UGACAAAGAGCAUGAAAAAUGCAUCUGAUUUCGGCUCAGGGGAUGCGCGCCGAGCGCUUUGUUUU